This is a long non-coding RNA of Halichondria panicea, 1405 nucleotides long. RefSeq lists it as uncharacterized. Lineage: Eukaryota; Metazoa; Porifera; Demospongiae; Suberitida; Halichondriidae. The transcript has 4 exons. The record is from RefSeq and is a predicted model, not a curated record.
GAGAGUGUUCAGCCCAGCUCUUCAUCGUCAAUUCUCCAAGAACAUAGGCAAUUAGGCAAUUGUCCAACUGGUGGUCAAGGCCAAGGAGCGCUCCGGGUCGUACCCUUACACACUCCCACACAUUUGUAUGCUUAGGAAAGAAGGGCACAAGUGAAUGCCCAACAAGUAACAAGAACUAUUUUGUAUUGGGCUUGGCUAGAAGAAAAUUCAGUUUUUGCAGUCACAUGACGUCCAUACAGCGAUUGUCCAAUGUUUUCCUAGAUUAACCAACUGUGGUGGAUAUGAACUUCUGCAGACACGCGGUACUUCCAAAUUUCUGGAAGUAAUUCCAUAUUUUAAAAGCAUGGGAGCAUGUAAAAUAUACAUCCGCCCUAUUCAACAAGACUUAGUUGGUGAAGCAACACAACAAUCAUGCAGAAUGUUACAGGUUCGAGAGAAGUGCCAUGUAUGUGGUGAAAAGUUCUCUAUGUCAAUACUUCGACAACACAUUGAGAGUCACGACCAAGGACCAUCAAGUGUUGCUAUACAGCCUACCUCAAAAGCGCAAUGUAAAUAUACAGGUCCCGUAAUUGACUUGUUUCCUCAAGCUCGAAAGUGAUUGAUAUUACCCGUCGAUUUGAAAUAUCUGAUGCCGUUGAACACCUUUUGCAAUGGGGGUACUCCAACCAAAUUUCCUCCAUUGACCUCUCAAAUAUCACUGGGAUUUCCCUACCAGUCGUGUUCUCAAGUAUACUGACUGGAAGUAAUGAUUUGCAGGAAGAUAUUCCUUCCCUUCAAGAUGUACCCGUUUCUGCUGCGGCGACAUAUGACCUCAUUCAAUUAAUCGCAAAGCUGGAUGUCGCCAAGACGAAUGAGGAAAUCAAUGAAGUAAUUGAUGAAUGAAGUAAUUGAUGAUCCAGUUUCCAUGGCUCUAAUCAACUCGUUUGGCUGGUCUCCAGUCAAAACCAUCAAUUUGUGCACCAAGAAAAUUUGUGCACCAAGAACCAACUCCUCCAACGUGAGAAGCAACUUGCUGCCUUUAGAAAGGGUUUGGAUGUCCUGCGUCUUGUUCAAAUGAAUCCAGAGUUGAGAGCGUUAUUUGUGCAUAGCAAGUUGAAUAUGGAGGGGUCUGAGUUGUUAAGCUUGCUGGAUACUAUGUUCAAGUUUCCCCAGCGUACAAGAUGUUUCUCGAAUAUAUGAACAAUCGGCCUAAAGGUGGUGAUGGUAAUGAUGCUACAGUAGAGCACUGGACAUCGCUGCCUGCCUCCGAUGGGAUUGUCUACCCCAAUUAAAGUGGAGCUCCUCCAAGAAAAUCGUUCUCUACCAACAGCUGCUGCGUGCUUCAACGUUAUUUCACUACCGAUUAUACACGAAAAUAUUGUAGAAUAAAGGUAUAUUGUAUUCACUGAAUCAUUACGGACUAAUG